This 492-nucleotide ribosomal RNA is filed under the name uncultured bacterium. Its description in RNAcentral is "partial 16S ribosomal RNA". It matches the Rfam family "Bacterial small subunit ribosomal RNA", at positions 29 to 507 of the family's 1533-position model. The record is from RNAcentral.
AGUGAACGCUGGCGGUAGGCCUAACACAUGCAAGUCGAACGGCAGCACAGUAAGAGCUUGCUCUUACGGGUGGCGAGUGGCGGACGGGUGAGGAAUACAUCGGAAUCUACUUUUUCGUGGGGGAUAACGUAGGGAAACUUACGCUAAUACCGCAUACGACCUACGGGUGAAAGCAGGGGAUCUUCGGACCUUGCGCGAUUGAAUGAGCCGAUGUCGGAUUAGCUAGUUGGCGGGGUAAAGGCCCACCAAGGCGACGAUCCGUAGCUGGUCUGAGAGGAUGAUCAGCCACCCUGGAGCUGAGCCACGGUCCAGACUCCUACGGGAGGCAGCAGUGGGGAAUAUUGGACAAUGGGCGCAAGCCUGAUCCAGCCAUACCGCGUGGGUGAAGAAGGCCUUCGGGUUGUAAAGCCCUUUUGUUGGGAAAGAAAAGCAGCAGGUUAAUACCCCGCUGUUCUGACGGUACCCAAAGAAUAAGCACCGGCUAACUUCGUG